UACAGGGGGUGCAAACGUUGCUCGGAAUCAUUGGGCGUAAAGCGCACGUAGGCGGUCUGUUAUGUCGGAUGUGAAAGCCCUUGGCUCAACUGAGGAAGUGCAUCCGAAACUGGCAGGCUAGAGUACUAAAGAGGGUCGCGGAAUUCCCGGUGUAGAGGUGAAAUUCGUAGAUAUCGGGAGGAACACCGGUGGCGAAGGCGGCGACCUGGGUAGAUACUGACGCUGAGGUGCGAAAGCGUGGGGAGCAAACAGGAUUAGAAACCCCCGUAGUCC
Molecule: ribosomal RNA, 273 nt
Filed under: uncultured bacterium
Lineage: Bacteria
Description: partial 16S ribosomal RNA
Rfam family: Bacterial small subunit ribosomal RNA
Source: RNAcentral